RNAcentral lists this ribosomal RNA (939 nucleotides) under Lactobacillus iners. Its description in RNAcentral is "bacterial SSU rRNA". It matches the Rfam family "Bacterial small subunit ribosomal RNA", at positions 20 to 916 of the family's 1533-position model. The record is from RNAcentral. Lineage: Bacteria; Bacillati; Bacillota; Bacilli; Lactobacillales; Lactobacillaceae.
UGGCUCAGGACGAACGCUGGCGGCGUGCCUAAUACAUGCAAGUCGAGCGAGUCUGCCUUGAAGAUCGGAGUGCUUGCACUCUGUGAAACAAGAUACAGGCUAGCGGCGGACGGGUGAGUAACACGUGGGUAACCUGCCCAAGAGAUCGGGAUAACACCUGGAAACAGAUGCUANGACCGGAUAACAACAGAUGAUGCCUAUCAACUGUUUAAAAGAUGGUUCUGCUAUCACUCUUGGAUGGACCUGCGGUGCAUUAGCUAGUUGGUAGGGUAACGGCCUAANAAGGCGAUGAUGCAUAGCCGAGUUGAGAGACUGAUCGGCCACAUUGGGACUGAGACACGGCCCAAACUCCUACGNGGAGGCAGCAGUAGGGAAUCUUCCACAAUGGACGCAAGUCUGAUGGAGCAACGCCGCGUGAGUGAAGAAGGGUUUCGGCUCGUAAAGCUCUGUUGUUGGUGAAGAAGGACCAGGGGUAGUAACUGACCUUUGUUUGACGGUAAUCAAUUAGAAAGUCACGGCUAACUACGUGCCAGCAGCCGCGGUAAUACGUAGGUGGCAAGCGUUGUCCGGAUUUAUUGGGCGUAAAGCGAGUGCAGGCGGCUCGAUAAGUCUGAUGUGAAAGCCUUCGGCUCAACCGGAGAAUUGCAUCAGAAACUGUCGAGCUUGAGUACAGAAGAGGAGAGUGGAACUCCAUGUGUAGCGGUGAAAUGCGUAGAUAUAUGGAAGAACACCGGUGGCGAAGGCGGCUCUCUGGUCUGUUACUGACGCUGAGGCUCGAAAGCAUGGGUAGCGAACAGGAUUAGAUACCCUGGUAGUCCAUGCCGUAAACGAUGAGUGCUAAGUGUUGGGAGGUUUCCGCCUCUCAGUGCUGCAGCUAACGCAUUAAGCACUCCGCCUGGGGAGUACGACCGCAAGGUUGAAACUCAAAGGAAUUGACGG